Molecule: microRNA precursor, 58 nt
Filed under: Echinops telfairi (small Madagascar hedgehog)
Lineage: Eukaryota; Metazoa; Chordata; Mammalia; Afrosoricida; Tenrecidae
Description: Ete-Mir-760_pre stem-loop
Source: RNAcentral
CCGCUCAGUCCGCCAGAGCGCGGAUGUCUCCGAAAUUCGGCUCUGGGUCUGUGGGGUG